RNAcentral lists this ribosomal RNA (463 nucleotides) under Burkholderia sp. oral taxon 406. RNAcentral describes it as "bacterial SSU rRNA". It matches the Rfam family "Bacterial small subunit ribosomal RNA", at positions 30 to 482 of the family's 1533-position model. Lineage: Bacteria; Pseudomonadati; Pseudomonadota; Betaproteobacteria; Burkholderiales; Burkholderiaceae. The record is from RNAcentral.
AUUGAACGCUGGCGUAUGCCUUACACAUGCAAGUCGAACGGCAGCAUGAUCUAGCUUGCUAGAUUGAUGGCGAGUGGCGAACGGGUGAGUAAUACAUCGGAACGUGCCCUGUAGUGGGGGAUAACUAGUCGAAAGAUUAGCUAAUACCGCAUACGACCUGAGGGUGAAAGUGGGGGACCGCAAGGCCUCAUGCUAUAGGAGCGGCCGAUGUCUGAUUAGCUAGUUGGUGAGGUAAAGGCUCACCAAGGCGACGAUCAGUAGCUGGUCUGAGAGGACGAUCAGCCACACUGGGACUGAGACACGGCCCAGACUCCUACGGGAGGCAGCAGUGGGGAAUUUUGGACAAUGGGGGCAACCCUGAUCCAGCAAUGCCGCGUGUGUGAAGAAGGCCUUCGGGUUGUAAAGCACUUUUGUCCGGAAAGAAAUCGCACUUACUAAUAUUAGGUGUGGAUGACGUACCGGA